Molecule: long non-coding RNA, 2972 nt
Organism: Panthera uncia (snow leopard)
Lineage: Eukaryota; Metazoa; Chordata; Mammalia; Carnivora; Felidae
Exons: 2
Source: RefSeq, a predicted model, not a curated record
GCUGCCGGCUCCAGUGAGUUCCCUUGACAGCUGCAGAAGGAGAGGCCUCCCCGGAGCCCACCUCCCCGCACCAAGGACGGCUUCUUCUAGCUCCAGGUUCCGCGAGCACCCGACUCCGCGGUGCAGGCUGCCAGAACGCUGCUCCAGCUCCUGCCCUAUAGCCGCAAAGGCGCGCCCCUGAACAGCUUUCCUGGCACUCCGGAGGGACUGCCAGACGUCCUGCCAGCUCUUCUCCGCCAUUUGGUGAGCUGUAGCUAGGCUCUCUCCAAGCAAGUUGGACCUCAGCCCUGGGGCUACUGCUCCUGCAGCGAUUCUGACACCAGCUGUGUGACACCAGAUCCUGACACCCAGCAAUUCUGUGACAUCAGCUGGGUAUCCCACAGUAACUCACUCUGGCACCAUCCACCUGGAGACGGCAUCAGAUCCACAGGUAGAGGGCUUCAUCCUGCAAGACCCCCCACACUUCAGAUGCCAACCGCGAGUCCAAACUGGUAUCUGUGCUUCUGACCAAUUGGCUAUGAAUAUGAAUUGGGGUUCCCAUGACCCUCCCUCAGGUGCAAUUAACUUGUUAGAGUGGCUCACAGAACUCAGAAAAAGAGUUCACGGACUGUUUACCAACUUAUUAUAAAAGGAUAUGACAAAAGCUACAGGUAAGCCUCCAGAUGAAAGAGAUGUCUGGACCAAGGUAUAGGAACGGACACGGGGAUUCCAUGUCUCUCCAGGUCACCAAUCCACCAGCACCACCAUGUGCUCACCAACCCAGGAGCUCUUUGAACCCAGGGAAAUAAUGAGGACCCACCAAAUGAGAACAAGAAAAGGCUAUAUUUGUUCAGAGCCUGCAAUAGUGAGGGAGUCACUCCAUCACCUGGCCUGGUAGAGGCCCAGAGGCAGCAAGAGAGGGGGAGAGCUUCAUGGUGGAAAAGGGGGACUCAGGGGUGCCCUGAUGGGGGCUGUGGGCCUGAGGGAGCCAGAGAUGAACUCUAGAGAAGUGGGGCAUCUCCUGUGUUCGAUUUUCUCUGGUUGGUCCUGAGUUGGACCCGGGAACAAAAAUUAGGUAAGAUAUCAUUUAUUGACCGAGUCCUGGCCAUCUGGCUUAUUUGGACUGUCACAGGGUAUUGUAUGGCUUUCUGGGUUGUCACCAGAGCCAGCAGUCUGAAUUGCCCCAAGUCUGACUUCGAGCAGCCGACUUCCUGGGCAGGCUUCUGCAGAGGAGGCAUUGGUUUUGGGUGGGCUGCUGCAGGCCGUGGGCCUAUUUUCAUAAAUGGUCUGGCCACUGGCCACUUGUAUAUUCAGUUUAUUAUAAUAGGCACUGAUGAGCCAGUACAGUGUUAACAGAAAACAUUUCUCCCAAGGUCACAACUCAGCUGUGAAGUGUCCUGACAGCCUCUUCCUUCUUACCGGUAACUUCCAUAGCCUGCUCUGUGGCCCUACCUCAUGAACAAAAAUACCUAAGACCCAGUUACUAAGUGGUCCACACUUCGUGACAGCAACCAUCUGAAGAUGGCCCUCACUUCCCCUCUCCCCUCCUCAGAAUUAUUCAGUGCAACCCCAAACCUUACAAAAUUCUCUCUCCAGUCUCCUCAUGAGACACAACGCAGAAAUCUCUAGGGUUCUCUCUUUGCAACAGGUUAAUAAACCAGACCUGGUCUAUUAGGUUUAUCCCUAGUGGACUUGACUGUUGGGCAUUUUCACCCAGCUCAAGUAUCUUCUCCUCCACUCAAUCUUUGGAUGCAGUUUUUCCCUCCUCCAGCCCCAGAAUACUUUGUGUGUCCUGAUGCUAGAGUUAAUUAGCUAGAGUUAAUGUUAGGACACUUCCUCUACUAGACUGUAAGGCCCUUUAGAGACUGUGCGGGAUUCCUCUUUGUGUCCGAGUUCUAAUGAGACAAAUGAUGUGCACCUGGCCAGACAAAGAUGGACACAGUCUCCCCUGGCUAAGCUCUCGAGUGUUCAAGAAAGCCCUGAACAAGUGAAGAUUUAUCUUCAACUGGCCCUCUCAAAGACAGUUUUCAAUGGACUCAUGUCUUGGCUAGAUUCCAGCUAAUUGGUGUAGGUUUUGUUUGUUUGAAGUUUAUUUAUUUUGACAAAGAGAAAGAGGGAGCGUGUGCACACACACACACGCACACACACGCACACACGGCACUUGAGCAGGGGAGAAGCAGAGAGAGAGAGGGAGAGCGAUAAUCCCAAGCAGGCUCUGCACUGUCAGUGCAGAGCCCGACUGGGGGCUCAAACUCAUGAACUGUGAGAUUGUGACCUGAGUCAAAACCAAGAGUCGGAUGCUCAACAGAGAGAGCCACCCAGGUGCCCCCCCCUUUUUUUUAAGUGAAUCUUUUCACUGUUCCGAAGGCUGACUUCAGUGUUUUCUUUGUCCUCUCCCCCAUCCAGGAUCUCCCUCAUGAGACUAAAGAGCACAUAACUAACGAGAGGUCUCCAAGUUGUCCUUGGACACAUGCACCUCAUACCAUGCUGUGCCCAUGACAAAUCCAGUGGGUUGAUUUACUCAGCAAAGAAAAGAAUUUCAACUCACUUCAAGUGAAUUCUCUUUGUAGUUUCAAGUUUCCAGGCCUGUAAAUGAUAAAGGACCAAACCAGCUCUAGAUUGUGACAGUCCCUGUGAGUACAGCCACCCUGUGUGGCCUCCUGUGGAAGAGACCCCACCAGCUCCCCCUUGACAUUUCCUUGGCUGUAACUCCUUAUGUAUUCUUCCAGAGCCAAAUUGGUAAUAUUCUUUUCCAGGCAUAUAUCCCAGUUGGCUUGGAAGAAUAGUGGAGUUAUUCUUUGGAGAUGUGGAUUUGAAGAAAGUUCUUUUCGAUAGUCUGUUAAGUCGUUAAAAUGCUGCUGAGAGGUCUGUCUCCCUUUGUCCCUGUCUCAUGCACCCUCCCUGUACAACUCAAGUGAGCUUUGGUUCUAUGAUAUUUAAUGUUUUGGCACCCUUUUUGUUUUAGGUGUAUUUAUUUAUUGGGGGGGGGGGGG